RNAcentral lists this transfer RNA (64 nucleotides) under Nigidius sinicus. RNAcentral's name for it is "tRNA-Phe". Lineage: Eukaryota; Metazoa; Arthropoda; Insecta; Coleoptera; Lucanidae. The record is from RNAcentral.
ACUUGAAUAGCUUAUAAAGAGCAUGAUAUUGAAGAUAUUAAGGAAAUUUUAUAAUUUUUAAGUA